AUAUAGAUCCCACAAUGCGAAUUGUUUCAGGACAGGACAAUCUGUCUGAAAUGCUGUGUCUAGAGGAACCGGUUGGAAAGCAACUGUUGGGAAAGAGAUGAACAGGAAACAGUUGCCUGCAACGAUUACACCCGUGCAGGUAUUUCAACAUUUCUUGAACAGCACUACUCUAUAAGUAAAGGGAGCAUCCAGGUUGUAUCCAGAGCCCUCGCCUUUACACCGCCUCCACGGCUGCAAUCGUUGGGAGAGAUCUCAGAUAAAUCUUCAGCCAUGAGGAUUCUUUACUCCCUAUUUGCUCUAGUUUUUUUCCUCUUUCAAGUUGUUCCAGAAAAACCUCUGACCGUAGAGGACUGCGCAGCCCUGGGGGGUUACUGCCACGUUCCCUUGAGCGAGGAAUGUCCCUCUGGUGUCAGCUAUCCAGCCAACUGUGGUAUUAACGCAAGAUGCUGCAAACCGCUCUCCUGAAGGAAGACACGGGCCAUUCCUUGUGGAGCCCAAGCCACACGAUCAGGAGGUGAAAUACAUGGAAUAGUGAAAUCAUCCGCCAAUUAAACGCUGAUUAAACAUAAGAUUUCACAACGUGUGUCUUUCAUUCCGAAUGCCGAUUGCAAAUUGCAGUGUGGAGAUGAGAGUGGUGUUCACCUAAUCCUGUUCAGGAUUAGGAGAGUUCACAUAAUCCUGUGAACUCUGUUUGUUUACAUGAACAUAUCUGUGGUAGAAACACUCAUGACCAUGAUUUAAAGGAGUGACGUGCAGGAGGGGCGUCUUUUUCCCAACAGGUAGAAAUGAGGAAAGCAAUAGUCUAAAGGACAGGAUCCUCCACCGCCUUCUCACUCCACCUAUGGAGGUUGAUUGAACUGGCAGUUGAAUCUAAUCCCAUUGUUAGGAUAGGGAUAGGAUUCUCUUCAGUGGACAUCAUGCUACCAGGAAUUAGGAUUGCAUGAAGGUAAUGGGUUGACCAGCAUUGGUGGCUGGUGUUCCUUGCAGCUGGUGGGUCAUAAUGCAGAUGGGCAGAGCCAGGACUAAUCAAGUUGAGCUG
RNAcentral lists this long non-coding RNA (1039 nucleotides) under Pogona vitticeps (central bearded dragon). RNAcentral describes it as "lncRNA (ENSPVIG00000007538.1)". Lineage: Eukaryota; Metazoa; Chordata; Lepidosauria; Squamata; Agamidae. The record is from RNAcentral.